AGUGAACGCUGGCGGUAGGCCUAACACAUACAAGUCGAACGGCAGCACAGUAAGAGCUUGCUCUUACGGGUGGCGAGUGGCGGACGGGUGAGGAAUACAUCGGAAUCUACUUUUUCGUGGGGGAUAACGUAGGGAAACUUACGCUAAUACCGCAUACGACCUACGGGUGAAAGCAGGGGAUCUUCGGACCUUGCGCGAUUGAAUGAGCCGAUGUCGGAUUAGCUAGUUGGCGGGGUAAAGGCCCACCAAGGCGACGAUCCGUAGCUGGUCUGAGAGGAUGAUCAGCCACACUGGAACUGAGACACGGUCCAGACUCCUACGGGAGGCAGCAGUGGGGAAUAUUGGACAAUGGGCGCAAGCCUGAUCCAGCCAUACCGCGUGGGUGAAGAAGGCCUUCGGGUUGUAAAGCCCUUUUGUUGGGAAAGAAAAGCAGCAGGUUAACACCCCGCUGUUCUGACGGUACCCAAAGAAUAAGCACCGGCUAACUUCGUG
Molecule: ribosomal RNA, 492 nt
Filed under: uncultured bacterium
Lineage: Bacteria
Description: partial 16S ribosomal RNA
Rfam family: Bacterial small subunit ribosomal RNA
Source: RNAcentral